Long non-coding RNA from Astatotilapia calliptera (eastern happy), 3460 nucleotides. Lineage: Eukaryota; Metazoa; Chordata; Actinopteri; Cichliformes; Cichlidae. The record is from Ensembl.
UUGGGUUGUCUGGACCUAAAAACACAAAUUUGUCUCUACAAGAGCCUGAUAUCCACUUACGAGGACAUUAUCCUGCCACUGUUCUAUCAAAAUUUAAAACAAAUGUCCUCAUAUGUGGAUCUCAUUUUUGUCAGAAACACAAAUCAGGUCAAAAAAUUAAUCUGGCAAUUCUUUGUUUUUACAUUCAUGAGGUCCCAAUAUGCCCAAAUAUCAAAGAGAAAUUAAAAAUGCAUGCCAUGGAAGAGUUCAGGUCUUAGGAGGUUAAGGCACGAGGAUCUGUCUCUAUACUGCAUAAAUGAACUUGCAAAAAAGAAAAAGUAGGAGCACAGCACAUAUACAGUACGCUGCUAUCACACUUUAUUAAAAAUAGAAACAUAUAUUCAUAGUACUUUUCAUACAGACUACAAUGGUCCACUGGUAUUACUUUCAAAAAAGAGUUACAUACUAUAAAACACUCAUUUGGCCUAAAUCCACUGUAGAAAUGUCUCAAAAACAAAAUAACAAAAACGAUAAGGAAGUCUAAAUGAAUCCCAUUGUUUCAGAGCUCUUCCUUCUUGUGCGUUAAAACACAACAAAGGUUAUGGAAAGGUGGAAAAAUGUAAAUAUGGAGAGGAAGAUGAGCGAAAUAAAUGCACAUACGAUCGAGUUUAAAAAAAGAUGGCACAUUUAUUGCAACAUAAAUGUUAUAUACAUCGUGUUUUUCUGUUUGAAAAUGACAGAAAAUUCAAAUUCUCGUUGCCGCAGUUUUUCAAUGUGCAUCAACAACACCUUUUAUUUGACACAAGAACAAAUCUUUUUUUUUUUCCUUUUUUUUUUUUUUUUUCAAUCAAUCAACAACGGAGACUGAGGAGUACGAUGGAGGUCGCGCUUUUAGGAAUCUGGAGCUCAUACGGAGCCUUUUUGAAGUACUAAACUACGAGCAGCAGUUCAGCCGUGUUCUUGAGAUGCCAUAUGUAACUUUUUUGUGAUAAUGGACAGGUUAUGGUAAAUAACCGUACAUUUUACUAUCUAAUAUAGUAAAAUAAAGUAAGAAACUUUUUACUCAAAACUUUUGCUUUCAAAAAUCUAGAAAGAGUAAUAUUUAGAAUUCAAGAAAUAUUCUUACAGUAUUAUUGUAUAAAAGACUAACUACAGUGAAAAAUAAGCCAAAUGUUUUUUUUUCUUUUGAUUUUCUUUUUUUUUUCAUAUAUUAUACAAGGGAAAGCAUCUGGGGAUACAGCAAAGUUUAACUUGGCAAACAGAGGAGCAAAGAAACACAGGAAGAACGGGAAGUUUAAAAGAAAGAAAGAAAACAAAUGAAGGGAAGCGAGCCGGAAGUGACACACAUUAUACCCUCAAAGUCUGCCGACAUGAAUACAGGAUCAUGAAUACUGAAAUGAUGAACAAGGCCUCAUUCAGUCAGAGAACACACCACAACCGACCAGGUCUCUCUCUUUUUGGAUUCUUCUUCACUAAAAUGAGGUUGUUAAAUUGUAAACUCAUCAUCCUUUAUUCUAAUCAAAGUCCCUUUAUCGUACAGAAUACUCGUUCUGAAUGCGGCAGCCUUGUUUAAGGUGUAAAUAAUGAUAGAACGCAAUAUACAAAGAAAUAAAUGGAAUAUAAAGCAAGUCUUAAGACCGAAAAGACUCAAAAAAAGGAAAACGUAACGCAUGCACACGGAUAGGGAAAAAGAAAUAAAGCCAUGACCGAUGUCUUGGAACAUAAAAAAGAAAAAUCCUGCUUUUGUUCAUCAUCAUCAUCCUCAUUAUCAUGAUCAUGCUACAGUUCAAUGAUACUCAGAAUAAUCCAUGAAAUGUUCAGUCUGCUUUGCCAUACUGAGAAUAGCAUGGCUUCCAUCAAAACAUCACUGAAAAUAACUUACAGAUUUUCUCUGCUAGCUAAAACCCGGAAAUUAUAAUGCUGGACAGAAAGGACUUGUUACAACAAAUAAGCAUAACUAAAUUUUAGUCAGGAGUAACUGCGCUUAUUAGAAUUUAAUGUCUUGAGAUAUUAACAGAAAGAAAAUUGAUAUGUUUGAUCAGGCCAGGAGAAACUGUGGUCGUCGUUUUGUGUUGUUUGGGUUUUUUUUGCGUGUUUUUCUACUUUUGUUUGUUUUGAACGUCUUCAUUAGGAGAUCUCUGAUUAGCUGGUGGCAGAAACAAGAAAAUAAUAACACAUUUUCAAAAGAAAAAAAGCCACUUCUGUGCCAACACAGCCAACACUUCUGUGCUGACGUCCGGAGGAAGAAUCUGCAAACAUACGCCACUGCUUACGUUUAACACUAUAUGGCAAAGGGAAGCGAGGGCGCUGGAGUCGCCUCUUCCUUUAGUUAAGACACUAAAAUAUGCAGGGAAUGCUAAGGUUUGCAAAAAGUUUGCCCUCUGUAUUUUCACUGCUCACUACUGGGAAAAAACAAACAAAAAAAAACAAUUAAAUCUGAGCCUUCAGUGAAGCUACAGUUUGCCGUUUGUGCGUCACCUCCCGUGCUGUUGACGCUAUCGUAGCUGGACCUGUUACCUGCCGGUCAGUAGCACAGAGACAGAUCUAAACUGCUCAGAAACAAACAUAGGUAGUUUUGGUUUCACGUGUGGCCAGUGGCAGAACGAGGAAAACAAAAAUAUAAAUAAUAUAUCUUUUUUUUUUUAAUUUAUAUUUAAAAAACGGGUGCUUUUGUUUUUCAGCUCGUGAUGAUUUUCAGUUGGGUAUAAAUAUCAGUCUAAACUGGCCAAUAAAUUAAUCUCUAACAUUUUUCCCCCAAUCUCAGACUCAAAGAUUUUCCCGGGGUGGAGUGCUCAAGGUUGAUGGCGACACUGGCAAACUAUAGAUCGACUGAAAAGCCGCAUGCUUCUCUUUGUAUUGACCUAACUUUCCCUUUAGACAUACACUUUAUAGCUCAAUAACAUAAUAAAUAGGAAAAAAAACAAAGAAACAGACAAAUAAAAACAAUUGCUGUUACAAUGCAUUCGUCAAUUUAGUUUAGGCACAAGGCAAUUUCCACAUACGGUUGGAGGAGAUUGCGAAGUCUCUGAUUGUUCAGAAGCAACACACUUCUUGCAGACAGUGAUAUGUGUUGAAGAUUUUUUUCUUGUGGGGGAGAAAUUUGCAAAUGGAAUCUGGUCACAGGGAGCUGGACGCUUGGCUCUACUUCAAUCUUAGGAGUGGACUGUGUUAGACUCGUCGUUUUGCUUCAAGUGGUCUGUCUCCUCCAAUUGGUGUCACAAACUGCGAGUCCUGUCUGUCACUGGGAAGCAAGGUCACCGACUCAGACGGGACAGAAAUGAUCUGCAUCGCUCUGAUCUGGAGGAGAGGAAGCAAAGAAGGAGCACUGAUCAGAGGUGCGCAUCAAAGGAGCUGAGCGUAGGCCGUCCAAAUUUUAGCUUCAGCACUAGAGCUGGUGAUUAAAGUCCUGCUGUUUUACAUAUUUAUUUUUUAAAAAGUCUGACAUAAAUCAGACAUAAAUCAAUAAAGGACAAUUAUAACA